AGAGUUUGAUCAUGGCUCAGAACGAACGCUGGCGGCGUGGAUAAGACAUGCAAGUCGAGCGCUGACUACGAGGUAGCAAUAUUUCGUGGUUGGAGCGGCGCAAGGGUGCGUAACACGUGGGUAAUCUGCCAUGAAGUCUGGAAUAACUUGCUGAAAGGCGAGCUAAUGCCGGAUGUGAAAAUCGGGAGGCAUCUCCUGAUUUUCAAAGUUGGGGACCGUAAGGCCUGACGCUUCUUGAUGAACCCGCGGCCUAUCAGCUAGUUGGUGAGGUAACGGCUCACCAAGGCUAAGACGGGUAGCUGGUCUGAGAGGACGACCAGCCACACUGGAACUGAGACACGGUCCAGACACCUACGGGUGGCAGCAGUCGAGAAUUUUUCACAAUGGGGGAAACCCUGAUGGAGCGACGCCGCGUGGGGGAUGAAUGGCUUCGGCCCGUAAACCCCUGUCAUUCGCGAACAAUGUUCCGGCAAUAACACUGUCGGAAUUGAUAGUAGCGGAAGAGGAAGGGACGGCUAACUCUGUGCCAGCAGCCGCGGUAAUACAGAGGUCCCGAGCGUUGUUCGGAUUCACUGGGCGUAAAGGGUGCGUAGGUGGUCGGGUAAGUCUGAUGUGAAAUCUCUGGGCUCAACCCAGAAAUGGCAUUGGAUACUAUUCGGCUUGAGGGUUGGAGGGGGGACUGGAAUUCUCGGUGUAGCAGUGAAAUGCGUAGAUAUCGAGAGGAACACCAGUGGCGAAGGCGAGUCCCUGGACAACUCCUGACACUAAGGCACGAAAGCUAGGGGAGCAAACAGGAUUAGAUACCCUAGUAGUCC
Molecule: ribosomal RNA, 815 nt
Filed under: uncultured bacterium
Lineage: Bacteria
Description: bacterial SSU rRNA
Rfam family: Bacterial small subunit ribosomal RNA
Source: RNAcentral